RNAcentral lists this ribosomal RNA (492 nucleotides) under uncultured bacterium. Its description in RNAcentral is "partial 16S ribosomal RNA". It matches the Rfam family "Bacterial small subunit ribosomal RNA", at positions 29 to 507 of the family's 1533-position model. The record is from RNAcentral.
AGUGAACGCUGGCGGUAGGCCUAACACAUGCAAGUCGAACGGCAGCACAGUAAGAGCUUGCUCUUACGGGUGGCGAGUGGCGGACGGGUGAGGAAUACAUCGGAAUCUACUUUUUCGUGGGGGAUAACGUAGGGAAACUUACGCUAAUACCGCAUACGACCUACGGGUGAAAGCAGGGAAUCUUCGGACCUUGCGCGAUUGAAUGAGCCGAUGUCGGAUUAGCUAGUUGGCGGGGUAAAGGCCCACCAAGGCGACGAUCCGUAGCUGGUCUGAGAGGAUGAUCAGCCACACUGGAACUGAGACACGGUCCAGACUCCUACGGGAGGCAGCAGUGGGGAAUAUUGGACAAAGGGCGCAAGCCUGAUCCAGCCAUACCGCGUGGGUGAAGAAGGCCUUCGGGUUGUAAAGCCCUUUUGUUGGGAAAGAAAAGCAGCAGGUUAAUACCCCGCUGUUCUGACGGUACCCAAAGAAUAAGCACCGGCUAACUUCGUG